GCCCAAACCUGGGCCUUUGAUACACCUGUGGAUACGUCGUCGCCUCGAUCAUGGGAUCCAGCACGCGCCAUCUCGGCAUGCUUCGGUACGUACGUGCUUUGGGCGUCGGCCUGCGGGCUCUCCAUUCGGCCCGUCUUGAAACACGGACAAAGGAUUCUGACAUGAGUGCGAGUCAACGGGCUAGAAAACCCGUAAGGCCUAAGGAAGCUGAUUGGCGGGAUCCCUCACGGGUGCACCGC
This 239-nucleotide non-coding RNA is filed under the name Gossypium arboreum. Its description in RNAcentral is "Eukaryotic large subunit ribosomal RNA". It matches the Rfam family "Eukaryotic large subunit ribosomal RNA", at positions 518 to 761 of the family's 3401-position model. Lineage: Eukaryota; Viridiplantae; Streptophyta; Magnoliopsida; Malvales; Malvaceae. The record is from Rfam by way of RNAcentral.